This is a long non-coding RNA of Clupea harengus (Atlantic herring), 432 nucleotides long. RefSeq lists it as uncharacterized. The transcript has 3 exons. The record is from RefSeq and is a predicted model, not a curated record. Lineage: Eukaryota; Metazoa; Chordata; Actinopteri; Clupeiformes; Clupeidae.
UCCCAUUUUUUUGAAUAUACAAUUCAAGAGACCGUCUGCACAAAAUCCAUGACUGAUGUCAACGUUGAUCAGUGUGAAAUGAACAAGUCGGAGUCUGCUAGAGUGGGAUUCUGCCAGGCAUCACACUAUAGUUAUUGGGACCUUCCACUCUCUCCUUCGAUCGAUGUAAACUGUGAAAUAUAUGAACCUGACCGCUUGGGUGACAAACCCGAUACCUUGCUGGGUUCUGUGGAAGUUCGUCCCUCUACUUCCACUUUGCCUCCAAGACUACGACCGAGAAGCAAGAACUGUCCUGGAGAUUCUACAAUUCCCAAGGAGAUGUGGUUCUGAACAUGGCCGACCAAGAAGACUUUCCUGAAAAAAGCAGCACUGCUGUUGAGAUGUUGAAUGUUCAAAAUAAAGAUAAGAAACAUUCCAAAUUGUUCUAAGUGU